This 453-nucleotide ribosomal RNA is filed under the name uncultured bacterium. RNAcentral's name for it is "bacterial SSU rRNA". It matches the Rfam family "Bacterial small subunit ribosomal RNA", at positions 54 to 507 of the family's 1533-position model. The record is from RNAcentral.
CAUGCAAGUCAGCUUGACUGAAGGAGCAAUCUGACAGUAGAGUGGCGCAAGGGUGCGUAACGCGUAAGUAACUUGCCCAAGGUAAGGAAUAACGUCGAGAAAUCGGCGCUAAUACCUCAUAAUGCAGCGGAUCCGCAUGGAUAUGUUGUUAAAGGUUUACCGCCUUGGGAUAGGCUUGCGUCUGAUUAGCUAGUUGGUGUGGUAACGGCACACCAAGGCUACGAUCAGUAACUGGUCUGAGAGGAUGAUCAGUCACACUGGAACUGAGACACGGUCCAGACUCCUACGGGAGGCAGCAGUGAGGAAUAUUGGGCAAUGCUCGAAAGAGUGACCCAGCAACGCCGCGUGGAGGAUGAAGGUAUUCUAUAUCGUAAACUCCUGUGAGAGCAGACGAAAGACAGAUUAUUAAUCUGGAUGACUGUAUGCUCAGAGGAAGCCCCGGCUAACUACGUG